AUUGAACGCUGGCGGCAUGCUUUACACAUGCAAGUCGAGCGGCAGCGCGGGGGCAACCCUGGCGGCGAGCGGCGAACGGGUGAGUAAUGCAUCGGAACGUAUCCUCGAGUGGGGGAUAACCCAGCGAAAGUUGGGCUAAUACCGCAUGGGCUCUGAGGAGGAAAGCGGGGGACCUUCGAGGCCCUCGCGCUGGAGGAGCGGCCGAUGUCCGAUUAGCUAGUUGGUGGGGUAAAGGCUUACCAAGGCGACGAUCGGUAGCUGGUCUGAGAGGAUGAUCAGCCACACUGGGACUGAGACACGGCCCAGACUACUACGGGAGGCAGCAGUGGGGAAUUUUGGACAAAGGGGGCAACCCUGAUCCAGCCAUGCCGCGUGAGUGAAGAAGGCCUUCGGGUUGUAAAGCUCUUUCGGACGGAACGAAAUGGGCGGGACUAAUACUCCUGUCUGAUGACGGUACCGUAAGAAGAAGCACCGGCUAACUACGUG
RNAcentral lists this ribosomal RNA (486 nucleotides) under uncultured bacterium. RNAcentral describes it as "partial 16S ribosomal RNA". It matches the Rfam family "Bacterial small subunit ribosomal RNA", at positions 29 to 507 of the family's 1533-position model. The record is from RNAcentral.